UCUCUUUAUUGUGAUACUUGUUUACAGUUUGAAGGUUCUUUCACUCAAGUUUUGCGGUAUUCUGACAACAAUCACUAUUAAAUGCAGAAAGGCCGUCAUGCAUAUACAUUUUUAUGGAGGCAUCGAAUUGUAGUUGUCGAGAAAAGGAGAGGUAUUUCAUCAAAUGAGACGUAGCCAAUGUGACGCAAUUUGGUGGAAAACUCUUAUUUCCUGAUUGCCAAGGUUUGACUGCGUACCUUAUUUUAAGAGUAAAAUAAGCCAGUUGCAUUAUUCUUAAUACGUGAUAGGCCUAUACUUUUAAUAUAUUUGACCUAAGAUAGAACACGUGGUGACUACUUUUUGUUUAAUUACAAACGAAAUUCUCCAAAUAUGUCAUCUGUUACGGAGUUAAGUUUCGACCUGUCGAAUAUUCCGUUGAUAGCACUGAAUGUCAAUGUGAGAAAGAAAUUAGGAUUGUUUUUAAAUCCGAGAAACACUGUCGCAGCGGAUUGGAUGUCGAUCGCGGAGAUCAUGGGUUUUUCUUAUUUAGAGAUAAAAAAUUAUGAGGACUCCCAGAAUCCGACAAGAAAAAUAUUGGAAGAUUGGCAAGCAAGGUGUCCAGAUGCAAAAGUCGGAAAAUUACUUUCGAUUCUUGAGGAAGCCGACAGAAAAGAUGUGGUUGAAGAUCUUCGACAUUUAAUCGAGGAGGACUGCAGAAAAUACCUUAACUGGCAGAAGGAGCCCCCACUUCAGGUGCCUGAGGUGGAUAGCUGUGUCCCACGGACCCCAGAGCGAUCAAGAAUCACCCUGGAAGAUGACCCUGACGGAGGAAUGCCCGAGUUAUUUGAUGCCUUCAUUUGCUACUGUCAAAGCGACUUCACAUUUGUAAAGGAGAUGAUUCAGCAGCUUGAGCAGACUGAGCACAAACUGAAACUGUGUGUGUUCGACCGAGAUGUCCUCCCUGGAAGCUGUGUAUGGACCAUCACCAGUGAAUUGAUUGAGAAGAGAAAUGUAGGUGUAAGAGGAUGGUGGUUGUGAUCUCAGAUAACUACCUGGACAGUGAUGCCUGUGACUUCCAGACUAAGUUUGCCCUCAGCCUCUGUCCCGGUGCUCGGAGCAAACGACUUAUCCCUGUGGUAUACAAGUCUAUGAAGAAACCGUUUCCCAGCAUUUUGCGAUUCUUGACUGUGUGUGACUACACCCGGCCCUGCACUCAGGCCUGGUUCUGGGUUAGACUGGCCAAGGCCCUCUCCUUGCCCUGAAUAACUCACAAGCUCAAACCAAACCAUCAUCAGUCACUUGCCUUACUCAUCUUGGUCGAUUUGGUGGGCUCAUUUUCCCAUCUUGAUGAGAAAAAUGGCAAAGGUGCAUGAAGGUUAUACAGUUGAUAUGACUAGACUCAGCUUAAAUAAAACCUACAGCUUUUACUAUAAAGGUGCAGUUUGGUCAUGUAGCUAAUCAAUCUGAUACAUAGGACAGUAUCCUAUCACUUCAUCAUGGCACUAGUCAGUAGUGUUUCCUCCCUCACUUGCCCCACUCUACGUUUCAAUCUAGGGUCCCCUGACUUGCGCACACGACUGACCACCUUUAAAAUGGUGUGAUUGAAAGUAUUUAUACUUAUACACUUUAACUUAGUUACUCGAACUCAUGAUCAUCUUAAUUCAGUUCCAAACCUUUAAACAUAUGACAUGUUGCUGUUGGUUUAGCCUUUCAAAUUCGUAACAACCUUUCCAAUUAAGCUAUACUACUGUUGUGUGCCAAGCAGGGUCGGACUGGCCAUCGGGAGAUUUCCCGAACGGCCGGUCAAACAAACGGCCGCUACGGCCACGGCACUAUUCAAGAAAAAAAAUCCUAAUAGUUUACGAUUACUUUGAGGACGGCCUUAAUACCAUUCAACUGUUUAACUGGAGCGAUCCAAAAUCCAAAGGGUGGGGGUGGGCAUUUCCCCUGUGUAAACUUCAACGGUGCACUUGUCCGUCCAUUUUACAGAUCACGAUUGGUCAAAAAUCAAUAGUUUUCCGGGUACAGCCAAUUCGUUGGAGCUAUUUUAGCUAUUUUGUUUCUUUAGCAAAGAAAUGGAAAGGAAAAGAAACGGAGAAUAACAACGGGCACAGCAAGCAAAUGCUGCACAAUUUAGAAGUAUAGAAUACAUGUUUACGCCGUCAAAAGACGGAGAGAGUUUGCAGCCCGAAGAUGCGGCUGUACCAGGUGCAAGU
Hypomesus transpacificus is the source of this 2195-nucleotide RNA transcript. It is a transcript of the gene named MYD88 innate immune signal transduction adaptor, with no coding region annotated. The record is from RefSeq and is a predicted model, not a curated record. The transcript is spliced from 5 exons. Lineage: Eukaryota; Metazoa; Chordata; Actinopteri; Osmeriformes; Osmeridae.